UGAAACCUGAUGAAACCCCUGUAUUUGACCAGAGUACUCAGAGAAGUAGCCUGGAGUCAGAAUACAGCUAGAUUUUCUCCAGCCAUUUCCCCAACGCGUCCUGGAGGAGACCUGUUUUGAGACCUGCUAUUGUACUGCUGACUUAAAUAGAGGUGUGCGUGUGUGUGUGUUUUAAGAUACGGGGUCAGCUGACAAGAGACUGGAGUUGUGAACCCUGAACAAUUUAUGAAAUCUUUUGAGCAUAUAAAGAAAUCUGGGGACUAUGAUGUUGCAGUUGUGGAAGAUGCAACUCUAGGACAGAUUGUUGCUACAGCAACUCUGAUAAUAGAACAAAAAUUCAUCCAUUCCUGUUCUAAGAGAGGAAGAAUAGAAGAUGUUAUCAUUAGUGAUGAAUGCAGAGAAAAGCAGCUUGGCAUGUUGUUAUUACCAACUCUUACUUUGCUAAGCUAGAAACUGAACUGUUAGAAGAUUUCCCUUGAAUUUCUACCACAAAAUGUUGGUUUGUAUAAAAAGUCUGGAUAUAUUGUAUCUGAGGAAAACCGCGCGGGCUGGAGGUUUCUAA
Molecule: long non-coding RNA, 562 nt
Filed under: Homo sapiens (human)
Lineage: Eukaryota; Metazoa; Chordata; Mammalia; Primates; Hominidae
Description: non-protein coding lnc-SNTB1-3:1
Source: RNAcentral